Molecule: ribosomal RNA, 228 nt
Filed under: uncultured bacterium
Lineage: Bacteria
Description: partial 16S ribosomal RNA
Rfam family: Bacterial small subunit ribosomal RNA
Source: RNAcentral
UACGUAGGCGGAAAAUUAAGUCAGUAGUGAAAUCCUGCAGCUUAACUGUAGAACUGUUAUUGAUACUGGUUUUCUUGAAUACAGUUGAGGCAGGCGGAAUGUGUAAUGUAGCGGUGAAAUGCUUAGAUAUUACACAGAACACCGAUUGCGAAGGCAGCUUGCUAAACUGUGAUUGACGCUGAGGCACGAAAGCGUGGGUAGCAAACAGGAUUAGAUACCCUGGUAGUC